UACGUAGGGGGCUAGCGUUGUCCGGAUUUAUUGGGCGUAAAGCGCGCGUAGGCGGCUUUGUAAGUUAGAGGUGAAAGCCCGGAGCUCAACUCCGGAACUGCCUUUAAAACUGCAUCGCUUGAAUCCAGGAGAGGUGAGUGGAAUUCCGAGUGUAGAGGUGAAAUUCGUAGAUAUUCGGAAGAACACCAGUGGCGAAGGCGGCUCACUGGACUGGUAUUGACGCUGAGGUGCGAAAGCGUGGGGAGCAAACAGG
Molecule: ribosomal RNA, 253 nt
Filed under: uncultured bacterium
Lineage: Bacteria
Description: partial 16S ribosomal RNA
Rfam family: Bacterial small subunit ribosomal RNA
Source: RNAcentral